This 279-nucleotide ribosomal RNA is filed under the name uncultured bacterium. Its description in RNAcentral is "partial 16S ribosomal RNA". It matches the Rfam family "Bacterial small subunit ribosomal RNA", at positions 506 to 784 of the family's 1533-position model. The record is from RNAcentral.
UGCCAGCCGCCGCGGUAAUACGAACUGCGCGGACAUUAUUCGGAAUCACUGGGCUUAAAGGGUGCGUAGGCGGCCUGUUAAGUAGGGUGUGAAAUUUGUCGGCUCAACCGGCAAACUGCAUUCUAAACUGGCAGGCUUGAGUAAGUCAGGGGUGUGUGGAACUUCCGGUGGAGCGGUGAAAUGUGUUGAUAUCGGAAGGAACGCCGGUGGCGAAAGCGACACGCUGGGGCUUUACUGACGCUGAGGCACGAAAGCUAAGGUAGCGAACAGGAUUAGAUA